CGCAACGAGCGCACCCCUCUUUCUUUGUUGCCAGCACUUAAGGGGGGAAACUCAGGGAAUACUGCCGGGGUCAACUCGAAGGAAGGGGGGGAUGACUUCAAAUCAUCAUGCCCCUUAUGUUUGGGGUUUCACCCAUGCUACAAGGGCCGGUACAAGGGGCUGCAAUACCGGGGGGGGGAGCAAAUCCCAAAAAGCGGGCCCCAUUUCGAAUUGGGGUCUGCAACUCCCCCUCAUGAAUUCGGAUUCCCUAGUAAUCGCAAAUCACCAACGCUGCGGUAAAUACUUUCCCGGGUUUGGAACCCCCCGAAAAAUAAUUUU
Molecule: ribosomal RNA, 318 nt
Filed under: uncultured Actinomycetes bacterium
Lineage: Bacteria; Bacillati; Actinomycetota; Actinomycetes
Description: uncultured actinobacterium partial 16S ribosomal RNA
Rfam family: Bacterial small subunit ribosomal RNA
Source: RNAcentral